RNAcentral lists this long non-coding RNA (1148 nucleotides) under Homo sapiens (human). RNAcentral describes it as "non-protein coding lnc-ZNF705E-1:16". Lineage: Eukaryota; Metazoa; Chordata; Mammalia; Primates; Hominidae. The record is from RNAcentral.
GUGGGACUGAGCCCAUUCGGGGGGACUCCGGGGUUCUGGUGUAGGUAGAUCCGGGGCAGGCUCAGGACCAAGUCCCUCUCCUUCCACCAAGGAGCGCCCAGAGGCCGGCGGGAGCUCCAGGUUCACCUCCUCCUCCUCCAGGAAAUCCCACUUCCAACUGGAUGUCUGGAUGAACUACUGAAAGCUGCUGAGUGUCCUGCAGCAGGUGAGCUGUGGCCAGAGCCCAAGGAUGAAGGGGGCUCCCUCACUCUGUUACUGUGAAGAGGAAGCCUGAGGUGUAGCAGGCCCAGGCCCCAGAAGUAUGGAAAAAAAUGAGGUAGGGAGGGAGGGGACCUCAGGAGAAGACUGAGGUCUACAGAAUCCCAGGGUCAAGGGGAUGGUGCAGUGUUCUGGCACUAUCCUUGAUGUUCCAAGAGGGGUGAGAAUCCAUCUCCUGAGUAAAAACUUCACAUGGGGUGAGGAGGGGAGAAGAGAACAGAAAGGAAGCAGGGAAGGCCAAGACAGCCACCAGCCUUACAGCAAUUUUAACCAGAAAUGGACACAGACCCUGGACCCCAUCACAGGAGUGCAGGCCUAGGACUGUCUCCAGGUGAUGCAUAGCUCCCUUGUCAGGUUAGUGGGUUCAGGGAUUGUGACGUCUGCAGGGGUGUGGAAGGCUGGGCAAUGGGAGCAGCUUACUGGGCUGGACCAGAAAUACUGAACUUCUUUUCCAUCAGUGAAAUCCACUUCUGGGUCAGAAAAAACUGUGAGUUCUAGAGGGGCAGGGCCUAGGAGGAGGUCAGGUCCUGAGCCUUCCUGGUUUGACCCCCUCCCACCCCCUGUGUUUCUGGGUCUGUCCUCACUUCCACCCAGCGGAUCCUGAGUCUCUUCCUUUGAGUCCCUGUGAGUGUGUUGUGUGCAGUGGGGCCGGGCUGCUUCAUCCACUGCACGUUAAAUGUUUCCAACACUUUCCGGCCAAAGCUUAGAGUUGUCAGACCACCGACUUUGAAUGUUGACCUGGUUCCUUGUGGAACAGAGUAAUAGCUAUUGAAGUUUAAAGUCACUUUCCUGCGUGGAUGGUGAAGAGGCAGGCUGUUCAGGCAUAACUGCCCUCAGGCCUGGAGGGCUGUGGAGGUCACCGUUGGCGGUGGGUGGAUCUGGAACCUCUG